Molecule: transfer RNA, 73 nt
Filed under: Camelus bactrianus (Bactrian camel)
Lineage: Eukaryota; Metazoa; Chordata; Mammalia; Artiodactyla; Camelidae
Also listed under: 1 other name
Rfam family: tRNA
About the family: Transfer RNA (tRNA) molecules are approximately 80 nucleotides in length. Their secondary structure includes four short double-helical elements and three loops (D, anti-codon, and T loops). Further hydrogen bonds mediate the characteristic L-shaped molecular structure. tRNAs have two regions of fundamental functional importance: the anti-codon, which is responsible for specific mRNA codon recognition, and the 3' end, to which the tRNAs corresponding amino acid is attached (by aminoacyl-tRNA synthetases). tRNAs cope with the degeneracy of the genetic code in two manners: having more than one tRNA (with a specific anti-codon) for a particular amino acid; and 'wobble' base-pairing, i.e. permitting non-standard base-pairing at the 3rd anti-codon position.
Source: Rfam by way of RNAcentral
GAGAGUGUAGCUCAAGUGGUAGAGUGCAUGCUUAGCAUGCACAAGGUCCUGGGUUCAAUCCCCAGCACCUCCU